GAGCACAAUAUGAAGCAACUGCUAUAUACUCAACUUCAGCAGUUGAAAGAGCCACUAAAUUCCGUUUCUUGGAACACUGGAUAUCAAUAAAGACCCUAAGAAGUGAGACAUUCCUAAAUUACUCUUCCAGUCAACCAGGUACCUAACAUAGUCUGCAUCAACAUAUCCAACAAGAUUGAAGUUGUCACCAGCUGGAUAGAGGAGGACCAGGUCGGG
This 216-nucleotide long non-coding RNA is filed under the name Capsicum annuum. RNAcentral describes it as "long non-coding RNA (CANN_LNC011371)". The record is from RNAcentral. Lineage: Eukaryota; Viridiplantae; Streptophyta; Magnoliopsida; Solanales; Solanaceae.